GCGAUGCUGGCAGCUGUAGCAGCAGCGGGGCUUUUUAGCCUUGCUCUUCGUUUGGAUCGGCUGCGGGUCACCAUUGUCUGGGCCAGCCUAGGACGUUUUUGCCGCAUGAGACAAAAUAGAAAGGGCUGCUGCUUCCUCUGCAGCGCCCCCCGCCACCACUUUUCAGCAGCCGCAGCCACCUGAGGCAACUGGAGGUGGUCUGGAAAAGGCCCAGCAUGCUGAAGGUGGUGGUGGGGGGUAAAAGAAAGCCAGAGAGGAGCAGCCUGUGAGCAGAGGAGGCGGCGGCCGACAAGGACAGGAAGCGGUGGGCGACAUGCUCCUCAGAGGCUGGAUCUGUCACAUGAGUUGACUGCUUCACCAGUCCUCAUGGGUGGGCUGGCCCAUGUGCAGAUGAAAGUUUCAUUGAAUUGGAAUGGGUGGGGAGUAGCAGGUAAUGCACAUUGGUUGAAGACAUCCCUGCUUCCUCUCCUGUGUGUACAGCAACAUAAAAAUGUGAUUUGGAAAUGUUGCAAAGAAAACCAUGUCACUGCUUUUCAAGCCAUGAAUGUGUGUAUGUAUCCUGAUUUAGUAUAUUUUUACAUAAAAAGUGAACAAUUUUUUUUGCUGCUACUUUAAAGAUCUGAGCAUCAUCUCCUUACAUUUUGUUACAGUAUAAUGAUGAGGUGUAUGCUUGAUUCCAUUUCUCCAAAAAGUAAUUUUGUUGGGAAUGUUGAAAAUAAAACUGCAUUUAUCCAUUGA
Molecule: long non-coding RNA, 738 nt
Organism: Podarcis raffonei (Aeolian wall lizard)
Lineage: Eukaryota; Metazoa; Chordata; Lepidosauria; Squamata; Lacertidae
Exons: 2
Source: RefSeq, a predicted model, not a curated record